GACAGAGGGGGCAAGCGUUGUCCGGAGUUACUGGGCGUAAAGGGCGCGGAGGCGGCCUGCGGCGUCGGCGCUGAAAGCGCCCCGCUUAACGGGGCGAGGCGUGCCAAUACGCGCAGGCUCGAGGCGAGCAGUGGGUGGUGGAAUUCCGGGUGGAGCGGUGAAUUGCGUAGAGAUCCGUAGGAACGCCAGUGGGGAAGUUGGCCAACUGGGCUCGGCCUGACGCUGCUGCGCGACAGCUUGGGGAGAAAACCGG
RNAcentral lists this ribosomal RNA (253 nucleotides) under uncultured bacterium. Its description in RNAcentral is "partial 16S ribosomal RNA". It matches the Rfam family "Bacterial small subunit ribosomal RNA", at positions 524 to 776 of the family's 1533-position model. The record is from RNAcentral.